Molecule: ribosomal RNA, 426 nt
Filed under: uncultured prokaryote
Description: bacterial SSU rRNA
Rfam family: Bacterial small subunit ribosomal RNA
Source: RNAcentral
UUUCGAAUCAUUCACAAUGGGCGAAAGCCUGAUGGUGCGACGCCGCGUGAGGGAUGAAGGUCUUCGGAUUGUAAACCUCUGUCACUGGGGAAGAAACGCUUUGAGUUAACAGCUCCAAGCCUGACUUAACCCGGAGAGGAAGCAGUGGCUAACUCUGUGCCAGCAGCCGCGGUAAUACAGAGACUGCAAGCGUUAUUCGGAUUCACUGGGCGUAAAGGGUGCGCAGGCGGCCGUGUAUGUGAAGUGUGAAAGCCCGGGGCUUAACCCCGGAAUUGCACCUCAAACUAUACGGCUAGAGCAUUGGAGAGGGUAGCAGAAUUCACGGUGUAGCAGUGAAAUGCGUAGAUAUCGUGAGGAAUACCAGAGGCGAAGGCGGCUACCUGGACAAUUGCUGACGCUCAGGCACGAAAGCGUGGGUAGCAAAAG